RNAcentral lists this unclassified non-coding RNA (462 nucleotides) under Hevea brasiliensis (rubber tree). Lineage: Eukaryota; Viridiplantae; Streptophyta; Magnoliopsida; Malpighiales; Euphorbiaceae. The record is from RNAcentral.
GGAAGGUGAAUUAUCUGGACCUCGUUAUCAGAACCAAUUACAAGGGGAAGCAAAUCCUAGUUCUGUUAGGAAAAAUCUCAGGUUGAACGAAACUCAAACAUCUCCAAUCAUGUCCAGGGGUCAGAGUUCGGUUUCUGCAAAAUCUUCCCAUGCAUCAAAACUCAAAGAGCCAAAGACAGAACCAGGUGGAGAAUUGUCCUCUAAACAGAAGAUGUCGGGAUCCCUUGCUUUAAUCAAGCCUAAGGAUGAACCAUAUACUGAUGAUAUGCCACUGUUUGAGGUUCCGAUUGCUGUUAUUCACCCAGAGCCGUCAAAUAAGGGAGAUACUUCAAGUGGUAACACCUCAAGGUCUGAACCUUCAGCGAUAGACCUAAGAAGUGUAAGGGAUUCAGGCAUUAUGACUUCAUUGAAUGUAAUGACAACCAGUCGUGAGCUGAUAGAAGUCCAGGAUAGAUGUCACGU